Molecule: long non-coding RNA, 4762 nt
Organism: Marmota monax (woodchuck)
Lineage: Eukaryota; Metazoa; Chordata; Mammalia; Rodentia; Sciuridae
Exons: 2
Source: RefSeq, a predicted model, not a curated record
CAGACCCCUGGGGGACACACCGAGAAGUCGUUACUCGGAGAGCAGCUGGUCGGCUGUGAGUGGGUUGCACUACCAGGACCAGCCAGUGUGGGAAGAACAGCCUCAGGUAUGCCAAGUAUCUGCCAAGCCCAGGGCACACCAAAGAGCAGGACUAGGGGGUUUGUUUCCUCCAGGGUGAGCUCCUGCCUCGUGAACUCUGGACCUGUGACCACUUAUGGGAUCCUCAGAAGUUGGCUCGGGUGUUGGGGAGCCUAAGCACAGUGCUGUGUAUGCCUGGAGUGUUGUCUAUGACAGGUGCAGCCACCCUGUGUAUGGGCACAGCUAUGGACUGCCAAUGUGAGGUCAUUCAACGAACAAUACAACCAAACCAGACCAAAACUGAGGGGCACAGAGACCCCUUCAUUAACAGGUGUAACAGGUACUUCUCAAGAGGAGGUGGAAGGCGAGGGCAGUUCCUCUGUCCAGAGAGAGCUCAGCCAGAGGACCCAGGCCUGUGUGCUUGUGAGCACCUGUGUGGGUGCUGGGUGAGGGCAGAAGGACCAGAUGCAGGGAGAGGGUCCUGGCUGCAAGCUCUGAGGGCAGAGGCUCCAGGAUGCUCCUUCACCCCCCAGGCCUGGAAUACUGCUGGGUCUCGGACCCUUUCAGAGAUUCCUAACAUCCUCUAGUACAUGAGGAGGCCCAAGGAGUCCCGCGACAGAGGCCUGUGCAGCUUUGAGUCCACUUCCCUCUCCUAAUUACGCUCUCAGAUUUACGCUCCCAUGGCUGGGCUGGGAAGUUGAUUUCUGAACAUGACUCCAAAUGCUCCCCAGGUUUCUGGGGUGACUGGUCCUUGGGCUGUCCUAAUAUGCUUGAGGCCCCCGGAAGGUGCAUGAGGCCCCCUGGUGGGGGGCAGGGGAGCUCACACUUGUCACCUGACCUUUUCCCUUCUGUGGCAACUGUAGCUCAAGAGGCAUUCUUCACUUUAGAAUUUCAUGAUAAAACAGAGGAACAACAAGGCUGAUGGGCCCUCAUCUCCUCAAGGAGCCCAACAUGUCUUCACAGAGAAGUGAAGAGGCAAGCCCACACAGGCUGAGGGGAGGCCAGCACUCACAGCGCUUGCCCUGAGGGUGCACCCCGCCCAGCAGCCCUUCCAGAAGCUGGGACCCAGGUGCAGGCUUGCAGUGCAGGCAGGAUGUGACACCCCAUGUCAACUACGAAGGCCCAGGAACCAGAGGCCAGAGACCAGAGACAGGAAACAGGUGGGGAAGGUAGCUGCCUAGCUACAGGUUGGCAGCAGAGCAGGGGCUGAGCUCCUGUCUAGUCCUGAGCACUGCAGUCACAGGUGGCUGGCCUGGCCUACCCACCACAUGCUUCCUGCCCACCCACCUCUGAGGUCUGCUUCUGCCACUCCAGCCGACGGAUGGGCGCCGAAUCCAGCGCUGAGAGGAUGGCCAGGUAGGAGUUGAAGUUAUUCAGCUUCCGCAGGUGCUGUGGAGAGAGGUGGCCUGUGAGGGGAGGCCCAGGGCCAGCAGGCCUGAAGGGGGCUCUGGGCUCAGCCACCGUUACCUUCAUGAUCUUGAUGAACUUUAAGAGCAGCCGCUCCCUGUCCUGGGCUUUUUCCUGUAACAUGAUUAUGGACCGGACCCUGUGGGAGCAAUGGACAGAGCAGAGCAGCUGAGCUGACGGGGCUCCUGUAGGUCCUGGCAGACCAGGUGGAGCCAGACAGGGUGACACUGUACCGGCAGUCAUGAACCUGGCCUCAAGUGGCUCAGGACAUCUCAGGGGUCGGGGCCAGAUGCUCACUGACAGGGAGUUCAGCUCCUGCGCUAGACCUGGGGGAGCAGCGCACUUUCCUGGCUUGUACUGACCUGAACCCCUGGGGCCUCAGGACUGGCCAGGGAAUCCAGCCAACCCCAAGUCAGCAGGUCACUCUUGCUAGCCACAAGGAAGGGAACCUCUCAGAAUCUUAGCCCCAACAAAAGCUAAAGCUAGAACUGAAACCAACACCAAAAGCCGUCAUGGCUGUGUCUCAGGGGUCUGUGGUGGCGUCCACAUCCUAUGGAUCAUGUGGGCCUGUUUCCAGGGCUAUCCGAGGACGUGCUAGCCACUGCAUUACCUCCUCUGUCCUAUAAAAGGGCACCUGCACCAGGACAUCUGGGGGACUGUGGUAAUGACCAGGGCAGGACAGCAAACGCGAUGCCUGUUCCCUUCUGCCAUUGAGGGCAAGUAUCACUCAAGACCCUGGCACUCUUCCUACAGAGCUUCUGUGCCUCCUCUGUGCCUCUGGAGGGCAGGUGACCAGCCUAUCCUUGCCUUCUCUGCUCCCCAGGGCUUGAGGUUAGUGCCCACAGGGCCUCCAGAGGAGCCUGGAGGAAGGACGGCAGCAGCCCCCACCCUGCCAGCUCUCGUGGGAGACUGAAUUUGUCCAGUGGUGCUGCCAGACUGGCGAGCUUGGCGCAGAGGCUUUCUUACCAGUAGGACAUGUUGUUGAAAUGCUCUGUGAACUGGGUCAGGUUAGGGCUCUUCUCCUCAUUCUGUUCUUUUGCCCAAAGUAAAACCUCAGGAAUCUACAGAAGGAAACAGAGCAGACAGCACUGGAGCCCUCUGGCUUUCCUGUGCCUGGUGCUCUCUUUUUUUGGGUUGGGGGGGCAGUUGCUGAGGAUUGAACUCAGGGGCACAUGACCACUGAGCCACAUCCCCAGCCCUGUUUUGUAUUUUACUUAGAGACAGGGUCUCACUGAGCUGCUCAGGGCUUUGCUUUUGAUGAGGCUGGCUCCUCAGCCUCCCGAGCCAUUGGGAUUGUAGGCGUAUGCCCCGUGCCUGGCCUUGUGCUGUCUCUCAUUCAGAGACAAACCAGCAGCAGCUCCCCCGACACCUACCUCUAUUUUAUAGAAGAGCUCAGCAUCCAACAGUGUCAGCUGCUCGGCUAUUUCAUGACUGUGAAAGUCAUGCAAGGUCCCUGGCCUGGAAGACAGAGGCAUAAGAAGCACUGUUGGGCGUGGAGGCUGGGCAGGAGUGGCACUGCAGGCUCCAGGGCUAGGGAGGGAGCAGCUAUCCAAGCCUCACUCCACAUCAGGACAGCAGGGUGGCAACAGACUCCAAAUUGCUCCUUGGUCCCUCAGGGCCAUGAGAUGUCCCCAAGAGGCCUGCCUACGCCAUCUCUGCAGGUCGUCCACAGAUUCCAGAAUAGGACAAUGAGUUCCCCCCAUGGGAUUAUGGGUGACUCAGAUGCCUAAGGCCUUGCUCACCACUGGCCACCACUCCUAGGCGGUCAGCAAUAAGAGCUGGCUGUGGGAAUGGGGGAGGCUAACGCUCACGAAGGAGAGGGUGGCCAACCAGCCAGUGCCCACAGCUGGAACUAACACUCACCCUCAGGCUAGGGCAGAGGGUAGGCAGAAGCCUGGGACCUUUUUUUUUUUUUUUGAAUAUAUAUAUAUUUUUUUGGUUGACCAUGGACCUUUAUUUUUUAAUUUAUUUAUAUGCAGUGCUGAGAAUUGAACCCAGUGCUUCACACAUGCUAAGCAAGCACUCUACCACUGAGCCACAACCCCAGCCCCAGCCUGGGACCUUUGUACCAGUCUUGGGAAGGGUCUGGAUGGUGCUAGGAGAAAGCCCUGCGCUGACAGCAGCCUGGUGCACACCCACUCCCCUCCUGUCCUGCUCAGCCCCGCUGACCCACUGAUCCACUUCCUUGUUACCAGUGACUCGCCACCCCAAUUCCCCUAGCAGAGGAGGCCCCCCACAGGGAGCCAGAGGCUGUUCCCAAGGCACCUCGUCACAGGGCCUGGGCAGAAGCAGGACGUGAGGCCGUGCAGCCGGGGAGGACAGCGGAACAGAGGUGGCUAAGGGGUGCAGCUUUCCAGAGGGGCUGAGAGGCUGACUGCUCACCUGGCUGCAACACCCCGGGCUGCCAGGGGCUGGUCGGAGUUGGCACACCUGAGCAGCCUCUUCUGGUCCACCUUGUCUAGGAUGUUCUUCCGGAGCACGCGAGCCAGGCUGAGCUCCCCAUUGCACACCAGGCGGAAGACCAGCUCCAUCAGCAGCUUCAGGAUCUCCUCUGUCAGCUCCACCAGGCUAUGGGCCAAGGGCACAGGGUGAAGGCCAGGCACACAAGAGCCCACCAGCUACACCUCAGAUACAGGAGUGUUAGCGCAGAGCUGGAGCCUCCCAUGGAAGAGUGAGAAAGGACCUCGGGGCACCCACAUCCUCCACAGCUCUGGGUGUCAUGGUCCUGACAACAUUUCCCUGACUGUCACUCAAUACAUGCUGGCGCUGCAUGCACUGUGUGGGGACUCUGUGGGGCUGUGUUAGAGACCCUACACCAACCUGCCACAGGAGCUUCUGGUCUCACCCAAGCAGUAGACACCAGGAAGACAUCCCUCACCUCCUCUGCCUGGCCCUUCCCUGGAUGUGUGGCCACUGCCCGUUGAUGCUGGAGCCAGGCCUUGGUCUGUCUUGUUCACCUCCAACCCCAAGGCAUACUUGUAGAAUAUGGAAAUGGCCAGGGGUCACCAUAGAUCCCAGAUCCCAGUGGAAAGGCUGAGGUGGGUGGGAGAGGCUGCCCACUCCACUGCCCUAGCCUCUACCAAGCCCCCUACUGCUGAGAGUACAGCCAACACAGGCUGAUCCUAAGACGUUGGAGGGAGGGAUGGUGCCAGGUGGGACAGGGUCUCUCCUGAGGGAUGGAGCCCAUUAGGAAAGAUAGGACCUAAUACCUCAUUGUGUCCUAUAAGGGACAGGUCAUUCCUUUCAGAGAGUCACAAUAAAGUAGGCUACAGCCAAA